GCCAUCCACCUUCUCCACAGAAUGUUUUCAAGCAGGGAGUUUAUUUAUAUGUUAAACUUAAAACCAAAAAAGGGAACUUCUGUUUGCAAAUGCAACUACUCAGGAUGUGACUGUAGUUCCCCAGUACAGUCACAUGACCCACUUUAUUUUUUUUAAAAAAGGCACUGCAGAAGAGCUAAAUUCAGAAAAUUUGGCUGAAACCACUCUGUUGUCAAAACUUCACGAUGAACUUACUAACAAGCUGGAUAUCAGUCCUAAUGGCAUUUCUUCUUCUCUUACAUUUUUGGAGAGCAAAGGUCUAUGCUUCUGGAAACUCAGAGGACGAAAUAGAUUUCACGUAUGUUAUUAUAGGAGUUACUCUGGGAGCAAUUCUAGCAAUCGGUUUUGUAGCAGUAAUAAUCUGCUUGAUCAAAAAACAGAUGAUUGACAUUGGAGGUCAAACAUGGGAUCAAGCCAAAACAGAGACGACGUCAACGUACUUGGAAAACAAAGUACAAAUGAUCAAUAACCCUUUUGCGAUCAACAGUUACCUGCUCUGAGGAUCAAUAGAAGUCUCUUGAGCACAGGCAGGAGUCUCACCAACACCGAUUCCUUUCUUUGUUCUUUAAUUGAAAGACUGAUUGAUUGAUUACAGGAGGAGCUCAUAGUGCAUGCUAACUUCAAUCACCUGCACACAAAAAUCCUCAACAGCAUGUACCUGAAGGAAAUGUAUGAGGAAAACAAAAGAGAUGAGCUCUCCUCAUGAAUAGAUCCUGUUUAGCCUCUGACAAGUAUAUGUUUGAUUUCUAAAAUCAGUUAAAUACAGGGUAAUCAAAAAGGCAGUAAUACACUUCAGCAGCAGAAUUCAUGUGUUUCGAGAUAGGUAAAUAGUGACUGAAGUAACUUGAAAAAUCAUUCAUUUGAGGUUGAAGCAAAAUAAGGCUUCCCUUUUUUUUUUUUUUCAGGAAAUGUAUGUCUUGUGUUAAUAGGAAAACAUUUCAUUCACACUAAAGUUAUCUCUUUUAGCUUUAGGACUGAUGUCUUUUGUUUAACUGUAGGUGGUAGUGCUAAUUUCAGACAUUUAAAAUGAAUUGUGGUCAUUUAAAAUGAAAAAGUCCUUUUUGAAAGAAUGUUUUCCAUGUUUUGUUUUUAGAACAUGGAAAUGAAAACAGUUUUGCAUACUCAAAAAGUUUCUGGAGAUCUGAAACAAAACAUUUCACGUCAACAUUCUACAACCAAGCUAACCUAUUUCCAAAAUUCGCCCAACUCUGUUUUUCCUUAGCAUAAAACAGGGCAUUGAGUUCUCCCAACCCCUUCAUUCUUGUUCUAGCCUUAUACAUUCUGUUGAAUUUGAUGUCAUCAGAAUUGCUUUGCCUGGCUCCAAUUACAAGCUUCUUACAGCGGGAGUGACAACAAGAAAAAUUAGAGCUUUGUCUCAAAACAUUUAAAAUAGUUUAAAUAAUUUUAAAUGGUUUAAACCCAAGUUAUUUUGUAAACACAUCCCAGCUUUUACCAGACCUGUGAGCCUGUGGCUUCUGUCCCAAUUCAGAAAAUAAUGCUGUAGAUUCUAUUCUGUUUAAUCCCCUUCUUUAGAGAAUGCCGUGUUAUACAGAUGUUGUCAUCACAAGGUGCAUGAAAAACAGGAAGAUUUUGGUGUUUCAAGCCAGGCUUUCCUUUCAGCUUGGGGAAACAGGGCAGCAAAUGGCAUGCACGAUGUUAAUUAAUGGCAGAAUUAACAGGCAUAGCUGUUAUGCUACACUAUUCCAUUGCAACUUACAAAGAACCACUAUCCAGAUGCAAAGACCACAGGCUGGAAAUAGAUUGGAUCUUCCUAAACGUUUAGCUCAGGCCGAUGUCUAUAGACAUAUGGAUGUUUUUAAUUUCUCAUCUGACUUGCAUUCCUAAAGUUAACUUUCAAACCAGUGUCUGCUCUUAGUUAUGCCAUGUGACAGAUCAUAAUAAAGAAAGUUCUUUCCAGUUCUUCA
RNAcentral lists this long non-coding RNA (1964 nucleotides) under Calidris pygmaea (Spoon-billed sandpiper). RNAcentral describes it as "lncRNA (ENSCPGG00000018051.1)". The record is from RNAcentral. Lineage: Eukaryota; Metazoa; Chordata; Aves; Charadriiformes; Scolopacidae.